Molecule: transfer RNA, 69 nt
Filed under: Marmota monax (woodchuck)
Lineage: Eukaryota; Metazoa; Chordata; Mammalia; Rodentia; Sciuridae
Description: tRNA.Ala
Source: RNAcentral
GGGGUUGUGGCUCAGAGGUAAAGUGCUCACCCAGCAUGCGAGUGGCACUGGGUUCAAUCCUCAGCUCCA